UCAGGCCUAACACAUGCAAGUCGAGCGGAUGAAGAGAGCUUGCUCUGUGAUUCAGCGGCGGCAGGGUGAGUAAUGCCUAGGAAUCUGCCUGGUAGUGGGGGACAACGUUUCGAAAGGAACGCUAAUACCGCAUACGUCGUACGGGAGAAAGUGGGGGAUCUUCGGACCUCACGCUAUCAGAUGAGCCUAGGUACGAUUAGCUAGUUGGUGAGGUAAAGGCUCACCAAGGCGACGAUCGUUAACUGGUCUGAGAGGAUGAUCAGUCACACUGGAACUGAGACACGGUCCAGACUCCUACGGGAGGCAGCAGUGGGGAAUAUUGGACAAUGGGCGAAAGCCUGAUCCAGCGAUGCCGCGUGUGUGAAGAAGGUCUUCGGAUUUAAAGAACAGGAAGUUGGAGGAAGGGCAGUAAGUUAAUACCUUGC
RNAcentral lists this ribosomal RNA (425 nucleotides) under uncultured bacterium. RNAcentral describes it as "bacterial SSU rRNA". It matches the Rfam family "Bacterial small subunit ribosomal RNA", at positions 42 to 472 of the family's 1533-position model. The record is from RNAcentral.